GCGGCCGUAGUCUAGCCUGGCUAGGACAUCGGCCUGCCACGCCGAUGACCCGGGUUCAAAUCCCGGCGGCCGCACCA
RNAcentral lists this transfer RNA (77 nucleotides) under Candidatus Bathyarchaeota archaeon. RNAcentral describes it as "tRNA-Gly". It matches the Rfam family "tRNA". Rfam says of the family: Transfer RNA (tRNA) molecules are approximately 80 nucleotides in length. Their secondary structure includes four short double-helical elements and three loops (D, anti-codon, and T loops). RNAcentral also lists the same sequence under 1 other name. Lineage: Archaea; Thermoproteati; Candidatus Bathyarchaeota. The record is from RNAcentral.